GGCGGCGUGCCUAAUACAUGCAAGUCGAGCGGAAAUUGAGGAAGCUUGCUUCUUGAUUUCAGCGGCGGACGGGUGAGUAACACGUAGGUAACCUGCCCGACAGAACGGGAUAACAUGCGGAAACGGAUGCUAAUACCGGAUAAGCGAAUUCCUCGCAUGAGGGAAUCGGGAAAGGCGGAGCAAUCUGCCGCUGUCGGAUGGACCUGCGUCGCAUUAGGCUAGUUGGGGAGGUAACGGCUCCCCAAGGCGACGAUGCGUAGCCGACCUGAGAGGGUGAUCGGCCACACUGGGACUGAGACACGGCCCAGACUCCUACGGGAGGCAGCAGUAGGGAAUCUUCCGCAAUGGACGAAAGUCUGACGGAGCAACGCCGCGUGAGUGAAGAAGGUUCUCGGAUCGUAAAGCUCUGUUGCCAGGGAAGAACGCUUGGAAGAGUAACUGCUUUCAAGGUGACGGUACCUGAGAAGAAAGCCCCGGCUAACUACGUGCCAGCCGCCGC
RNAcentral lists this ribosomal RNA (499 nucleotides) under uncultured bacterium. RNAcentral describes it as "bacterial SSU rRNA". It matches the Rfam family "Bacterial small subunit ribosomal RNA", at positions 38 to 518 of the family's 1533-position model. The record is from RNAcentral.